This 305-nucleotide signal recognition particle RNA is filed under the name Vitis vinifera (wine grape). RNAcentral describes it as "Plant signal recognition particle RNA". It matches the Rfam family "Plant signal recognition particle RNA". Lineage: Eukaryota; Viridiplantae; Streptophyta; Magnoliopsida; Vitales; Vitaceae. The record is from Rfam by way of RNAcentral.
GUCGAUUCAGUCACAGGAACCUAUAACCGGAGUAGGGGCAUUAAGGUGGGCGGAUAUUGGCUCGAUUGAGCGGGUAGGGCCUAAUAGGGUUAAAUGUUGGCUUGCCCGUUCCAAGUUAGGAGAUGAGUCUUGACAUCCAGGCUAAGACCUGGGUGACGUGGCUCCUAAAGUGGAGGAAAUUGCGUGAAGCUGGUUUCAUAGAGCAGCGUCCACUUCCUGCUCCCGUCGGUGGAAGGAUAAUUGGUCGGUGCUCCGCAGGGUCCAACAACGCCUUUUCAACUGCUCACAAUUUGACAUCCACCUUU